This 119-nucleotide ribosomal RNA is filed under the name Gossypium hirsutum (cotton). Lineage: Eukaryota; Viridiplantae; Streptophyta; Magnoliopsida; Malvales; Malvaceae. The record is from RNAcentral.
GGGUUCGACCAUACCAGCACUAAUGCACCGGAUCCAAUCAAAACUCCACAAUUAAGCGUGCUUGGGCAAGAGUAGUACUGGGAUGGGUGACCUCCUGGGAAUGCCUCGUGUUUCACCCC